UAUCAAUUAUGUCAAUGAAACUAUUAAAUGUUGAUUUAGAUAAACAUCAUGAGUCAACACUAGUGCACUAGCAAGUAGCAAAGGUGGAUAGCCCUCCAACUUCCCACAACCCUCUGAUCCCAGGUGAAGACAACAUUAGUCUUGUUGAAGCUUGUUAGAAUAACAAUGUAUUUUAACCUUGUGUCUGUGAGGGUACUACUUUCUGAAACAGAAGGUAAGCAUGUGGCCGUUACUUUGUUACGGACUCCGUCUGACUUGUCAAAGUCAGUGAGACUUUUAGGAUUGUAUUCUCAAGAUUUCACAACUUCGUCUCGUGGCAUAACCUGUCGAAGUUGCCAUUUCUAGCUCUCGAGCCACAAGUCCAAAGUCCACGGUAUGUGCUAAUGACUUCAGCAUACAUUGGCUCUGCCAUUUGGGUGCUGGGUCCCUUGGGUUUUCUCUUUGGUUGGCAUCUUGCCAAUCAAGGGAUUGGGUCUUGGAUGGGCAUUUGUUGCCCUUCUCCUUGCUCCCUUUGGUCUUUGUAUCCACAUUCAAAGAUUAAUAAAAAAAAAUUCGCCGUUCAAAAAAAAAUACAUAGGCUCUGCCUCUUGGCAUAGAUAGGUAAGUGUCGUGGUUGGAAUAAUAUGAUGAGCCAUGUGGUAUGUUCACCAUGAUGAUCAGGCAUAUAAUUAUGACACUGCUGUCAUGAAAUUGUCUUGACUUCAAACUUCAACAGGAUGUCAGUUUGGGAAGAAAAUUACGAGAUGCUUGCGGAUCAUCUGAUCCGCACAGUAAGGACUGAACAUUUCUAAAAUGUAAUACAGUUCUAACUUCCUCGAAAAGUGCAGAUGUCUCCAAUUUGGUUGCACCUAAACCAACUAUGCACUUGAAAACUAGUUUGAGCCAGGAAAUAUACAAUAGGACUGAAUAAGAACACUCAAACAACUAGAAUAAUCGUAGCCAAAAGAGCAAUUUGAUCAAUCAUAGAGGACCUUAUACCUGGUUCUCCUUGGUACACAACAACAACUAGCCUCACCUCUCAACUGAGCUCGGCGGCUUAUUCGGUUUGUAUCGGGCAGGCUCUCGGCCGGCCCACUCGUUACGUGUACUAAGUGGUUUUGCAUUCAACCAUAAUAUAUCGAAUUCGAUAGAGGUUAAUGAUAAAUCACAAUUGCAAUAAAGAUACCAUGGGAUCGAAUGACAUACGUCAUCAAAUGGGGUACAAAAUGGGAAUACCGAAGAAGAUACUCUGGAGAUUUGAGCGUAUUUUAUAGAAUCUAGUUUGCCUCAAAUGAUAAUGGUGACCGUUUGACAUAAAGAUUCAACAACCCCCGGUUUGACGGUGGAAAUUAUCAACUAAUUGUAGAGAGAAGUUAUGAUUCUCAAAUCAUAAUUUUGCAUUCAGAGGUAAAAUUAACUUCAAAAUGAAUUCAGCAUGGCAAAGAACAUAGGGUAAGGUCAUUCAUGUGUUCAAGGGCUCUUCCGAUAAAGCUCGAUCGCAUUAGAGUGCCUAUAGCUAACGUUGAUGUGACCACACUGGAUCACAUCCCUGCUCCACCUUAUUCUAGCAAUUAGACAACGAUACAGAGAGAGCAAAACUCUCCCUUCUCCUCUCAAUACCUAGCCAUUAAUGGGUACAUAAGUACAAACUUUGCUUUUAUUCCUCCGUUAUCGUAAUUUCCAACCAAUAUUUUGCACCCAUAGCAUACGCUAUCGACCAAUUAUCACUAAUGUGCUAAGUGCUGACACAAUCAACACUAUUGCAAGUCUAUCAGAAAUAAUACCAACACUUGAGAAUGAUAAUUCACUACUUUGCAAUCCAUGAUUUAAUCAAAAGCCAAAUAAAUAGUCGUAUAUCCACAAUCAAGCUACCAAGACCUGCCCAAAUUUAGCCCUCCAAUGCACCAUAACCCCUAUCUACCUCUCCACCGACUACCUCACCCAUGCCUCCUGCUUUAUUUUAUCCUUUUCCUUAAACUAUAGCCCAAACGAACAAUAUAAACGUCUUCAUGGAUUUAGUUUCUCCCAUAUUCUAACUAUCAAAAAUUAGGUUUUUACAUGUGGACUAGACAUGUGCCACUUGAAGGCUGAUACGUCUAGGUUCUUUUAUGAAUAUGAAAGGCACAUCUUUGUGUGAGUGCCGCGCACCAAACAAAAGAGAUGCAAAGACGGUUGACCACCUUCUUAUUCAUUGCCCGGUGGCUUGGGAAUUCUGGACUAUGGUAUUUCCGUGGUUUGGGAUAUAGUGGGCUAUGUCGAAGAACAUUAUGGAACUCUUAAUUGCUUGGAGAGGUGUUAGAGUGGGAAAGAGAAAGAAGCGAGUUGGGGCUUUGAUUCUGCUUUGUUUGAUGUAGAUAUUAUGGCGGGAAAGAAACUGGAGAUGUUUUGAAGGGGUCAAAAAGUCCUUGAUUAGAAUUAAAAGUUUUUUGAUGAAUAGCUUGUAUAGUAGGGACAAGAGAGAAUGUAAUCCUUCGAUUGCCCAAUUUUUAGAAUGGUUUGAACUUCUCCUUCCUUAGGAGAGUGUAUAGGGCCUUUUAGUCUUGUGGCAUUUCUUGUAUACUGGCGGCAUUUCCUUUUUGCCUUUUUGUUAAUAAAUUACGUAACAAAAAAAAAAACAAACAAACAAAAAACCCAUGUGCAGAGGGGUAGUCCAAAGUCCGCGAUGCAGUAGGAUUUAGGGGCGUUUGUGUCUAUUUACCGUCCUUAGUAUUGUUAGGGUCUUGAGUCUAUAUAUAGGUAAGUUGUCUUUAAUUUUGGUAGCUUUUUAUUAUUAAAAAUAUUGAAUAUAUUGAUUGAGACAUAGUCUCUCUCUACCCUUUGGGGGUUUAUCCCUUUGAAUGAGAUUUUUCUCAUUUCUUACGAUCUUGGAUUCCCUUCGAAAUUUUGAUUGCAUCAUUUGGUAUCAGAGCUUCUAGGCUUGAUCUCCACCGUUCUUCUCGCCGGAAUUUUCCGAAGCUCAUCAAUGAUAUCUUGGUGUAUAGUCGGUGUUUUGAAGAUCACUCAUCCCACCUCCAACAAGUCUUUGAAAUCUUGAGAAGAGAGAAAUUUUAUGGGAACUUGAAGAAAUGUAGUUUUGCCGUUGAUAUUGUGGUAUUUUUGGGAUAUGUGGUGUCUUCAAAAGGGGUUCACAUGGAUGAAGACAAGAUUAAGGCCAUUGUGGAAUGGCCAACGCCUACAAGUGUUCAUGAGGUGAGGAGUUUUCAUUCUCAAGGAAAGUCAUGAAACUGGGUAUGUUCUAGUGUUGGUUCCUAUGGCGGAUAUGGCUGUGUCGGAUGUUCCCGAGGCGAUUUCUAAACUUUUGAAGGAGUAUGUUGAUGUGUUUCCUCAAGAGUUGCCUCCCGAAUUGCCUCCUUUGCUAGAUAUUCAACAUUGCAUCGACUUGGUAGCCGGGGCGCCCCUUCCGAACAAGCCCGCAUAUAAAAUGUCUCCAAGGGAGAGGGAAGAGAUUCAAAGGCAAGUUAAGGAUCUUUUAGAGAAAGACUACAUAAGGGCAAGCCUUAGCCCUUGUUCGGUGCCGACUCUUUUGACUCUGAAGAAGGAUGGUUCGUGGAGGAUGUGUGGAUAGUAGAGCUAUCCACAAGAUCACUACCAAGUACCGCUUUCCCAUUCCGAGGCUAGAUGAUAUGUUGGAUUGCCUUGCCGGUUCAAAGGUCUUCUCAAAGAUUGAUCUAAGAAGUGGUUAUCAUCAAAUUCGAGUUCGCCCGGCAGAUGAAUGGAAAACGGCUUUCAAGACCCCUCAUGGCCUCUUUGAAUGGCUUAUGAUGCCUUUUGGUCUUACCAAUGCUCUAAGCACUUUUAUGUGGGUAAUGACUCAAAUGCUUCAACCUCUAUUGGGUAUAUGUGUAGUUGUCAAAGGGGGUUCAUAUGG
Molecule: long non-coding RNA, 3847 nt
Organism: Rhododendron vialii
Lineage: Eukaryota; Viridiplantae; Streptophyta; Magnoliopsida; Ericales; Ericaceae
Exons: 3
Source: RefSeq, a predicted model, not a curated record